Molecule: ribosomal RNA, 301 nt
Filed under: uncultured bacterium
Lineage: Bacteria
Description: partial 16S ribosomal RNA
Rfam family: Bacterial small subunit ribosomal RNA
Source: RNAcentral
CAGUAGCCGCGGGAAAACGUAGGGUGCGAGCGUUAAUCGGAAUUACUGGGCGUAAAGCGUGCGCAGGCGGUUUUGUAAGACAGGCGUGAAAUCCCCGGGCUCAACCUGGGAAUGGCGCUUGUGACUGCAAAGCUAGAGUGCGGCAGAGGGGGAUGGAAUUCCGCGUGUAGCAGUGAAAUGCGUAGAUAUGCGGAGGAACACCGAUGGCGAAGGCAAUCCCCUGGGCCUGCACUGACGCUCAUGCACGAAAGCGUGGGGAGCAAACAGGAUUAGAUACCCCAGUAGUCCCUGUCUCUUAUAA